Molecule: long non-coding RNA, 1135 nt
Filed under: Vigna radiata
Lineage: Eukaryota; Viridiplantae; Streptophyta; Magnoliopsida; Fabales; Fabaceae
Description: long non-coding RNA (VRAD_LNC011077)
Source: RNAcentral
UUGCAAAUAAGCAAUUGCAAUAACAUAAACUUCUCUCUAUUUCAAUUCAAACAAUGCUUUGUUUCGUAAUCAUGGACUUCAUUUCUAUGUUCUUCCCUAUCUUCCUAGUCAAACUUGUCCUCAAAUUAAGGUAUGUCAAUUCCCUCAUCAUCACGCGUCUCUUCCAAGCAACCUUCCACCACUACCACCCUUAAUUUAUUUCUCCUUUUCUCUCUAUUUAUCACUUCCCAAUUUUCACAACAACCCUAACAUUUUUUCUUUCUCUUCUCCAAAUCCCUAAAUACAAAUCAUGAAGCUUCCCUCCUUUCAUCUCCACCCAAGAUCCCUGAACACUGCCCAUUCAAAUUCCCCAUAAAAGUUUCAAUUUUGAUUUUUGGGCAAUCCUUCAUUCAAUUUUUCCCCAUGCCACCUCAAAUGCAGCCCUUCCCGGAUUACCUUCGCACCGCGUCACAUGCAGACGACGGUGAGAGGCGGACCCCAUUGCUGAACCGAACCGUGAAGAAGUCGUUGGCAGUAGAAGAGUCCUCCUUGGACAAUCCGGAUCUGGGCCCGUUUCUCGUUUCCACUGUGAGGGAGGUGUGGCUGGCAAUGGAGGUGUCGGAGGAAAGACAGUAGCCGGUGGAGCCGCUGUAGGGAGUGUUAGCGGUGAAGGGAAGAAUGCCUCAGCUGCAUAAACCCUUAUUUGGGUUGAGGGGUUAAUGUCAGGUGGGAAUAAUGGAGAAUUAGCUCCAAAAAUUAAGGGAUUUGAUUGUUAGAAAAAAAAGAAAAAAAGAAAUUGGGAACUAUUAACAUGGAAGAGAGAGAAAAAUCUGGAUAGUAGAGGAGAGAAGAUGGACAACAGAGGAAGCUAGACAGUAGAGGGUAAAAAAGGAAAAAACACGCCAUGCAAUUAACGCCGUUGGUGCAAACUUAACGGAGAGGACUUGAUUCACGCAAAUUUUAUAACUUUGGGACUCAUUGUCAUCACUUUUAAAACCGGGUACAAAACAGAAAUCUAGUCCCCAACUUGGGGACUAAAAAGGUAUUUAAGCCUAAUAAUAAUAAUACCAUUUGUAGUUGUAAUAUUAAUACUAAACUAAUAAAUCAAAUAUUGCGCAAUAUUACUACUACAUUUAAUCAAAUAAUACUACGACUG